RNAcentral lists this transfer RNA (73 nucleotides) under Ictidomys tridecemlineatus (thirteen-lined ground squirrel). RNAcentral describes it as "Spermophilus tridecemlineatus (thirteen-lined ground squirrel) tRNA". It matches the Rfam family "tRNA". From Rfam's summary of the family: Transfer RNA (tRNA) molecules are approximately 80 nucleotides in length. Their secondary structure includes four short double-helical elements and three loops (D, anti-codon, and T loops). Lineage: Eukaryota; Metazoa; Chordata; Mammalia; Rodentia; Sciuridae. The record is from Rfam by way of RNAcentral.
GGGGAUUUAGCUCAGUUGAUAGAGUGCUUGCCUCAUACCCACAAAGCCCUGGGUUCAAUCCCCAGCACCACCA